RNAcentral lists this ribosomal RNA (465 nucleotides) under Vreelandella stevensii. RNAcentral's name for it is "partial 16S ribosomal RNA". It matches the Rfam family "Bacterial small subunit ribosomal RNA", at positions 338 to 795 of the family's 1533-position model. Lineage: Bacteria; Pseudomonadati; Pseudomonadota; Gammaproteobacteria; Oceanospirillales; Halomonadaceae. The record is from RNAcentral.
CCUACGGGGGGCUGCAGUGGGGAAUAUUGGACAAUGGGGGCAACCCUGAUCCAGCCAUGCCGCGUGUGUGAAGAAGGCCCUCGGGUUGUAAAGCACUUUCAGUGAGGAAGAACGCCUGGUGGUUAAUACCCAUCAGGAAAGACAUCACUCACAGAAGAAGCACCGGCUAACUCCGUGCCAGCAGCCGCGGUAAUACGGAGGGUGCGAGCGUUAAUCGGAAUUACUGGGCGUAAAGCGCGCGUAGGUGGCUUGAUAAGCCGGUUGUGAAAGCCCCGGGCUCAACCUGGGAACGGCAUCCGGAACUGUCAAGGUAGAGUGCAGGAGAGGAAGGUAGAAUUCCCGGUGUAGCGGUGAAAUGCGUAGAGAUCGGGAGGAAUACCAGUGGCGAAGGCGGCCUUCUGGACUGACACUGACACUGAGGUGCGAAAGCGUGGGUAGCAAACAGGAUUAGAUACCCGAGUAGUC